This 58-nucleotide transfer RNA is filed under the name Chloroflexota bacterium. Its description in RNAcentral is "Chloroflexi bacterium (soil metagenome) tRNA-Gln". It matches the Rfam family "tRNA", at positions 9 to 63 of the family's 71-position model. Rfam says of the family: Transfer RNA (tRNA) molecules are approximately 80 nucleotides in length. Their secondary structure includes four short double-helical elements and three loops (D, anti-codon, and T loops). The record is from RNAcentral. Lineage: Bacteria; Bacillati; Chloroflexota.
GGCCAAGCGGUAAGGCGCCUGACUCUGGAUCAGGAGAUCGAAGGUUCGAAUCCUUCCG